This is a long non-coding RNA of Rhagoletis zephyria (snowberry fruit fly), 260 nucleotides long. RefSeq lists it as uncharacterized. Lineage: Eukaryota; Metazoa; Arthropoda; Insecta; Diptera; Tephritidae. The record is from RefSeq and is a predicted model, not a curated record.
AGAAACAGUUCCCAAAUUGAGGUGUGGUGAGUUUAGGUGAGGUGUGGUGAGAACGGGUGUGAUGAGUUCAACUGUGGCGAGUUAAGAUUUGGCGGAUUUUGGUGUACCAGUAGGAGGUGUGGUGAGUUUAGGUGAGGUGUGGUGAGAACGGGUGUGAUGAGUUCAACUGUGGCGAGUUAAGAUUUGGCGGAUUUUGGUGUACCAGUAGGAGGUGUGGUGAGUUUAGGUGUGGUGGGUUUAAGUGAGGUGUGGUCAGUUUG